GACGAACGCUGGCGGCGUGCUUAACACAUGCAAGUCGAACGGCGUGGCGCACGGGUGAGUAACACGUGGGUGAACUGCCUUGCACUUCGGGAUAAGCUUGGGAAACUGGGUCUAAUACCGGAUAGUGCAAGAUGAGCUCGCGGCCGAUCAGCUGGUUGGUGGGGUAAUGGCCUAGCAAGGCGUCGACGGGUAGCCGGGCUGAGAGGGGGGACGGGGACAAUGGGACUGCGAUACGGCCCAGACUCCUACGGGAGGCAGCAGUGGGGAAUAUGGCCCAAUGGGCGGAAGCGUGAUGCAGCGACGCUGGGUGGGGGAUGAAGGCCUUCGGGUUGUAAACUACGUUCGACAGGGACGCGGUACCUGUAUAAGAAGCACCGGCUAACUACGUGCCAGCAGCCGCGGUAAUAC
RNAcentral lists this ribosomal RNA (408 nucleotides) under uncultured bacterium. RNAcentral's name for it is "partial 16S ribosomal RNA". It matches the Rfam family "Bacterial small subunit ribosomal RNA", at positions 28 to 526 of the family's 1533-position model. The record is from RNAcentral.